GAACCAAUAUUUUUGGUGACUCAUAAUAACUUUACGGAUCACAUUAUGUGACAUAUCAUUCAAGUUUCUGACCUAUCAGCUUUAGACGGUAGGGUAUUGGCCUACCGUGGCUAUGACGGGUAACGGGGAAUUAGGGUUCGAUUCCGGAGAGGGAGCCUGAGAAACGGCUACCACAUCUAAGGAAGGCAGCAGGCGCGCAAAUUACCCAAUCCUAAUACAGGGAGGUAGUGACAAGAAAUAACAAUACAGAACCUUACGGUUUUGUAAUUGGAAUGAGUUAAGUAUAAACCCCUUAACAAGUAUCAAUUGGAGGGCAAGUCUGGUGCCAGCAGCCGCGGUAAUUCCAGCUCCAAUAGCGUAUAUUAAAGUUGUUGCAGUUAAAAAGCUCGUAGUUAAUCUUCUGUUAAUUUUUAUAUACAAUAUCACGAUAUUUAYAUAAUAUUAACAUAAUUCAUAUUACUUUUUAGUAUAUGAAACUUUACUUUGAGAAAAUUAGAGUGCUUAAAGCAGGCUAUUGCCUUGAAUACUCCAGCAUGGAAUAAUAUUAAGGAUUUUUAUUCUUCUUAUUGGUUCUAGAAUAAAAAUGAUGAUUAAUAGGAACAGUUGGGGGCAUUUGUAUUUAACAGUCAGAGGUGAGAUUCUUAGAUUUGUUAAAGACAAACUACUGCGAAAGCAUUUGCCAAGGAUGUUUUCAUUAAUCAAGAACGAAAGUUAGGGGAUCGAAGACGAUCAGAUACCGUCGUAGUCUUAACCAUAAACUAUGCCAACUAGAGAU
Molecule: ribosomal RNA, 775 nt
Filed under: Cryptosporidium xiaoi
Lineage: Eukaryota; Apicomplexa; Conoidasida; Eucoccidiorida; Cryptosporidiidae
Description: SSU rRNA
Rfam family: Eukaryotic small subunit ribosomal RNA
Source: RNAcentral